RNAcentral lists this ribosomal RNA (501 nucleotides) under uncultured bacterium. RNAcentral describes it as "partial 16S ribosomal RNA". It matches the Rfam family "Bacterial small subunit ribosomal RNA", at positions 28 to 523 of the family's 1533-position model. The record is from RNAcentral.
GAUGAACGCUAGCGGCAGGCUUAAUACAUGCAAGUCGAGGGGCAGCACAGAUAGCAAUAUUGGGUGGCGACCGGCAUACGGGUGCGGAACACGUACACAACCUUCCUUUUAGUGUGGGAUAGCCCAGAGAAAUUUGGAUUAAUACCACAUAGUAUAUUGGAGUGGCAUCACUUUGAUAUUAAAGAUUUAUCGCUAAAAGAUGGGUGUGCGUAUGAUUAGGGAGCUGGUAGAGGUAACGGCUCACCAAGCCUUCGAUCAUUAACUGGUGUGAGGGGACAACCAGUCACACGGGCACUGAGACCGGGGCCCGGCUACUACGGGAGGCAGCAGUAAGGAAUAUUGGUCAAUGGACGGAAGUCUGAACCAGCCAUGCCGCGUGAAGGAUGACGGCCCUCUGGGUUGUAAACUUCUUUUAUGUGGGACGAAAAAGGGGCAUUUUUGGUCAACUGACGGUACCAUAGGAAUAAGCACCGGCUAACUCCGUGCCAGCCGCCGCAGUAA